Marmota monax (woodchuck) is the source of this 1786-nucleotide RNA transcript. RefSeq lists it as uncharacterized. The record is from RefSeq and is a predicted model, not a curated record. NCBI's taxonomy places the organism in Eukaryota, Metazoa, Chordata, Mammalia, Rodentia, Sciuridae. The transcript has 4 exons.
UCCCGAAGCCGGGCGGGUUGUGGCGUGGCUACAACGCCAGCUCUGGGGCCGGUCCCGCCCAGAUGGGGCUCACAGGAUCCCUGGAGCUGGGUUUCGGUUUUGCGAGCACUCGCAUUUCCGUGGUCGCUGUGCAUUUGCGCUAUAGCUCCCUGGCCUCCACCAGGCAGUUUAUCCACAGAACUUGAGGCCGGUGGGGAAAAACGGGGGUCCUGUCUGCCUUGAAGAGAUCCAGUUGCUGAACUGAUAGAGGUGGACUGCUUUCCCUGCAGUUGUGGGGCACAGGAACUGACUGACAUGGCUACUAGGACUGGGAUCUGGUUUCAGCUUUGCCUUGGACUUGCUGUGAGACCUUGGCCAAUGCCUUUUCCUCUCUGGGACAGUCUAACAUCCUAUCUCCACAAGGAUGGGGGAAAUAUUAGGAGUCCAAAGUUGGCUGUUUAAUGUUUCUGGCAGUACCCAAGACUCGGAGCGAGAUUUAAUGAUUCCAGGAAUGCCUCCCGCAUCAUUGGCGAAUAUUUGGCCGGAAAUUGGUCCAUGGCAGCGGAAGACAUGAUCCAGUCUCAACUAACCCAGAUAGCUGUCUUGAACAGUACCCGUGUCAAUCCCGUGACUUUGGGUCAAUUCACCGAUUGGAUAUCUUCUGCUUUUUCCUUCUUCAAAGAGUGGGUGGGGGUAGGCAUUUUUGGUGCAAUGUGUUGCUUCGGUAUGUUCCUCUGUUUGUGGUUUCUCUGUCGCCUUAAGGCCCGCAGUGCUCACGAUAAGGCUAUGAUCAUACAAGCUCUUGCAGCUUUAGAAAAUGGCAACUCACCUCAUGUCUGGCUUGCGCAUCUUAAACAGUAAACCUUUGACAUGGUCGUUACACCCCAAGUUAUUAUAACAUUGCACUGGGAUCGACAUGACUUUCCUUGUUAUUCUCUUAGUGUUGGAAAGCCCUUGCACUCUGCCGGUCUUACUGCCAUUGCACGCAGAUGGGUUUCCACACUAGUGCUUUUCUAUCGCCUUAAAGUCCGUGCCUUUCUUUCAGGGUGCUGUCAACUUGUUUGUCGUUAUAAACAGCCACAGUUCAGCCUCAGCUAUCUCCCUUCAUCCACCAUCGUCACGAUACAGGAUGCGAGGCAAGGCACUGCACUUGAGUGAUCCUUGACGUGGACCUCAAGGAGAGCAUGUCCUAUUGCAUGCGGGUUAGACGCGUCCACGCCCCGCCCCAUGAAAAAAGGCGUCGGCUGAUAUGGCCUCAGAUCUGGGGAAGGGCCCUCCUUAGGACUGAGCCAUACUAUGCAGCCACUUCUGCACAGUGGGAUAGGACCUCUACUCUCGCCUGUAUUGUUUUAAGAAAACAGAAAGGGGGAACUGUGGUGAGCCGCUUCUGCCGUUUCUGCAGACUAUGGUCGCCAUUACAAGAUGGCGCUGGCUCCGCUGUGGUCUGUGACAAACAACUCCUUAUUUGGAAGAGUUGGCGCAUGGUUUUUCACCACCCUAUGAGAAAGCUCCACAUGGCAGCUUUGCAUUGGGGCUUGAGAUGCUUUAUUAAGGCUGGGAGGGGCAUCCGAGAGAGAGAAGAAGAAAUAUCAAGGGCCUGAAUAAACUGCUGAAAGAAGAUUCCUGAGUUGCGUCUUCCUUGCGGGCAAGGGGUCGCGACAGGGAAGUACACACUGGGGAUGAAAAUCCCAAUCCCCAUUUGGCCUUCUCUAACACCACCAGUGGGGAGGUACAGGGAUAUUUAGGUGUUUAUUCCAGCUUGAUGAGGGCAGAAAUAUUGACUCCUAAUUUGGCCUUUGUGGAUUGG